GUGAGCAGAUGGAGCCGGACGAGAUUGCCGUGGCGGCGAGAGGGAGGAAGCGCUGCAAGAACUCCUCAAAGUCCACCUCCUCCGUUCCAUGCCCCAAGUUCUGCCUCCACCAUCCCCCAUCUCUCUACGUGAAGAUCUUUGCCCAGCGAUUCGUCCACAAUCGGCACAGUCGCUGAAUCGUCUUGCACAUGCAUAGCGCCCACAAGAGGAUGGCGGGGAUGGAGGCGGAAGGUGCUCCUCCUCUGUGAUGCGUCACAACAUCAAGCCCAGCACCGGAUCCACCCGAGAUAUUGACGCAUUUGGACCUCUUGAGGUAGCCGCACUCUUCUCUUCCUUUAUUUGUCUCGUGAUCUCUCCUCAGAUUAAUCUCCAUAAGCUCUAACCUUUGUUUGUGCAGAUGCCAUUUAUCUAUGCCUUCAAGGUGUUCGACAAUAAUCCAGAGAAGCUGCAGGAGAAAUUAACCCAUGUAAUAUUUGUGUAAUUGUGCUUAAUUUAUUGCAGAAUGUUGGUUUCUAUAUUUAUAUAAGUGGACGUCUCUUUGA
Lolium perenne is the source of this 542-nucleotide long non-coding RNA. RefSeq lists it as uncharacterized. NCBI's taxonomy places the organism in Eukaryota, Viridiplantae, Streptophyta, Magnoliopsida, Poales, Poaceae. The record is from RefSeq and is a predicted model, not a curated record.